RNAcentral lists this ribosomal RNA (245 nucleotides) under uncultured bacterium. Its description in RNAcentral is "partial small subunit ribosomal RNA". It matches the Rfam family "Bacterial small subunit ribosomal RNA", at positions 26 to 286 of the family's 1533-position model. The record is from RNAcentral.
AGAAUCAACGCUGGCGGCGUGCCUAACACAUGCAAGUCGAACGAGAAAGUGGAGCAAUCCAUGAGUAAAGUGGCGACCGGGUGAGUAACACGUGACUAACCUACCUUCGAGUGGGGGAUAACCUCGGGAAACCGAGGCUAAUACCGCAUAACAUCGUGAGAUCAAAGCAGUAAUGCGCUGGAAGAGGGGGUCGCGGCUGAUUAGCUAGUUGGCGGGGUAAUGGCCCACAAGGCGAAGAUCGGUAG